UCAAACUUGGUCAUUUAGAGGAAGUAAAAGUCGUAACAAGGUUUCCGUAGGUGAACCUGCGGAAGGAUCAUUACAGAGUUAUGCCCUGAUGGGUAGACCUCCCACCCUUGUGUUUAUUACCUUUGUUGCUUUGGUGGGACGUACACCUGUGCCCCGGGCUCUCGCGCCCGGGUGUGCCCACCGGGGGAAACCCAAACCCGUUUUUUUGGUGGUCGUCUGAGUCUCAUAAUAAUAGUUAAAACUUUCAACAACGGAUCUCUUGGUUCUGGCAUCGAUGAAGAACGCAGC
RNAcentral lists this unclassified non-coding RNA (288 nucleotides) under uncultured fungus. RNAcentral's name for it is "partial contains small subunit ribosomal RNA, internal transcribed spacer 1, and 5.8S ribosomal RNA". The stretch from base 1 to 73 matches the Rfam family "Eukaryotic small subunit ribosomal RNA", at positions 1759 to 1831 of the family's 1831-position model. Lineage: Eukaryota; Fungi. The record is from RNAcentral.